AGUGAACGCUGGCGGUAGGCCUAACACAUGCAAGUCGAACGGCAGCACAGGAGAGCUUGCUCUCUGGGUGGCGAGUGGCGGACGGGUGAGGAAUACAUCGGAAUCUACUCUGUCGUGGGGAUAACGUAGGGAAACUUACGCUAAUACCGCAUACGACCUACGGGUGAAAGCAGGGGACCUUCGGGCCUUGCGCGAUUGAAUGAGCCGAUGUCGGAUUAGCUAGUUGGCGGGGUAAAGGCCCACCAAGGCGACGAUCCGUAGCUGGUCUGAGAGGAUGAUCAGCCACACUGGAAAUGAGACACGGUCCAGACUCCUACGGGAGGCAGCAGUGGGGAAUAUUGGACAAUGGGCGCAAGCCUGAUCCAACCAUACCGCGUGGGUGAAGAAGGCCUUCGGGUUGUAAAGCCCUUUUGUUGGGAAAGAAAUCCAGCUGGCUAAUACCCGGUUGGGAUGACGGUACCCAAAGAAUAAGCACCGGCUAACUUCGUGCCAGCAGCCGCGGUAA
This 505-nucleotide ribosomal RNA is filed under the name uncultured bacterium. Its description in RNAcentral is "partial 16S ribosomal RNA". It matches the Rfam family "Bacterial small subunit ribosomal RNA", at positions 29 to 523 of the family's 1533-position model. The record is from RNAcentral.